GAUGAACGCUGGCGGCGUGCCUAAUACAUGCAAGUCGAGCGAACGGACGAGAAGCUUGCUUCUCUGAUGUUAGCGGCGGACGGGUGAGUAACACGUGGAUAACCUACCUAUAAGACUGGGAUAACUUCGGGAAACCGGAGCUAAUACCGGAUAAUAUUUUGAACCGCAUGGUUCAAAAGUGAAAGACGGUCUUGCUGUCACUUAUAGAUGGAUCCGCGCUGCAUUAGCUAGUUGGUAAGGUAACGGCUUACCAAGGCAACGAUGCAUAGCCGACCUGAGAGGGUGAUCGGCCACACUGGAACUGAGACACGGUCCAGACUCCUACGGGAGGCAGCAGUAGGGAAUCUUCCGCAAUGGGCGAAAGCCUGACGGAGCAACGCCGCGUGAGUGAUGAAGGUCUUCGGAUCGUAAAACUCUGUUAUUAGGGAAGAACAUAUGUGUAAGUAACUGUGCACAUCUUGACGGUACCUAAUCAGAAAGCCACGGCUAACUACGUGCCAGCAGCCGCGGUAAUACGUAGGUGGCAAGCGUUAUCCGGAAUUAUUGGGCGUAAAGCGCGCGUAGGCGGUUUUUUAAGUCUGAUGUGAAAGCCCACGGCUCAACCGUGGAGGGUCAUUGGAAACUGGAAAACUUGAGUGCAGAAGAGGAAAGUGGAAUUCCAUGCGUAGCGGUGAAAUGCGCAGAGAUACGGAGGAACACCAGUGGCGAAGGCGACUUUCUGGUCUGUAACUGACGCUGAUGUGCGAAAGCGUGGGGAUCAAACAGGAUUAGAUACCCUGGUAGUCCACGCCGUAAACGAUGAGUGCUAAGUGUUAGGGGGUUUCCGCCCCUUAGUGCUGCAGCUAACGCAUUAAGCACUCCGCCUGGGGAGUACGACCGCAAGGUUGAAACUCAAAGGAAUUGACGGGGACCCGCACAAGCGGUGGAGCAUGUGGUUUAAUUCGAAGCAACGCGAAGAACCUUACCAAAUCUUGACAUCCUUUGACAACUCUAGAGAUAGAGCUUUCCCCUUCGGGGGACAAAGUGACAGGUGGUGCAUGGUUGUCGUCAGCUCGUGUCGUGAGAUGUUGGGUUAAGUCCCGCAACGAGCGCAACCCUUAAGCUUAGUUGCCAUCAUUAAGUUGGGCACUCUAAGUUGACUGCCGGUGACAAACCGGAGGAAGGUGGGGAUGACGUCAAAUCAUCAUGCCCCUUAUGAUUUGGGCUACACACGUGCUACAAUGGACAAUACAAAGGGCAGCGAAACCGCGAGGUCAAGCAAAUCCCAUAAAGUUGUUCUCAGUUCGGAUUGUAGUCUGCAACUCGACUACAUGAAGCUGGAAUCGCUAGUAAUCGUAGAUCAGCAUGCUACGGUGAAUACGUUCCCGGGUCU
RNAcentral lists this ribosomal RNA (1372 nucleotides) under uncultured bacterium. Its description in RNAcentral is "bacterial SSU rRNA". It matches the Rfam family "Bacterial small subunit ribosomal RNA", at positions 28 to 1381 of the family's 1533-position model. The record is from RNAcentral.